UAGGGAAUCUUCCGCAAUGGACGCAAGUCUGACGGAGCAACGCCGCGUGAGUGAUGAAGGAUUUCGGUUCGUAAAACUCUGUUGUUAGAGAAGAACAGCGCUUAGAGUAACUGUCAUGUGUGUUACGGUAUCUAACCAGUAAAUCACGGCUAACUACGUUCCAGCCGCCCCGGUAAUACGUAGGUGGCAAGCGUUUUCCGGAUGUAUUUGGCGUAAAGCGGGCGCAGGCGGGCAAUUAAGUCUGAUGAGAAAGCCCCCGGCUCAACCGGGGAGGGUAAUUGGAAACUGGAUGACUUGAGGGCAGGAGAGGAGAGUGGAAUUCCACGUGGAGCGGUGAAAUGCGGAGAUAUAUGGAGGAACACCAGGGGCGAAGGCGACUCUCUGGUCUGUAACUGACGCUGAGGCUCGAAAGCGUGGGUAGCAAACAGG
Molecule: ribosomal RNA, 429 nt
Filed under: Bacteroidota bacterium
Lineage: Bacteria; Pseudomonadati; Bacteroidota
Description: Bacteroidetes bacterium partial 16S ribosomal RNA
Rfam family: Bacterial small subunit ribosomal RNA
Source: RNAcentral